ACCAGUGUGCUGUAGUGGUUUGAAUGUUGGACUAUGACUCUGGAGACCAGGGUUCAAAUCCUGGCUUAGCUG
This 72-nucleotide transfer RNA is filed under the name Phrynosoma platyrhinos (Desert horned lizard). RNAcentral describes it as "tRNA-OTHER". The record is from RNAcentral. Lineage: Eukaryota; Metazoa; Chordata; Lepidosauria; Squamata; Phrynosomatidae.